CCUGAGAAACCCAAAAGAUCGAAUGAGGAGAUUCAUCGUCAACGAUAAUGAUUUGCGUGCGGUACGCGAUACUGAAUAAUUCAUUAUUACGGUACGUUAUCGCUGCGUUUAAAUCAUUUAUUGUCGUCGUGCACUUCUCCUCUAGUAGAACGUCGCGACCCGUUAGGUGUUGGUUUACGAUCCGGUCUUAUCGAUUGCAACGUAAACGUUUCGGCGUUUUUAACGUUACAAAUGAUCGUGAUUUCUAACCGACUGCCUGACGGUAAUAUUAUAAUACUUUUAUGGUAUUGAGCCGCAUUAAGUGCGUUCUUGGCCCUUGGGCAGGUUCGUCUAUUUUUGUAACGGACCUAGCGCCGUUGCAAAUAAUUAGAUUGAACUGUUGGUUCAAGGUGUCCUCGGACCGGCUCUUUAAUAAUUAUAUUCUUACGGAUAUACCAGUCUGCGACGCUACUGCUUUGGGUACUUUC
Molecule: ribosomal RNA, 467 nt
Filed under: Idioporus affinis
Lineage: Eukaryota; Metazoa; Arthropoda; Insecta; Hymenoptera; Idioporidae
Description: eukaryotic LSU rRNA
Source: RNAcentral